This 492-nucleotide ribosomal RNA is filed under the name uncultured bacterium. RNAcentral's name for it is "partial 16S ribosomal RNA". It matches the Rfam family "Bacterial small subunit ribosomal RNA", at positions 29 to 507 of the family's 1533-position model. The record is from RNAcentral.
AGUGAACGCUGGCGGUAGGCCUAACACAUGCAAGUCGAACGGCAGCACAGUAAGAGCUUGCUCUUACGGGUGGCGAGUGGCGGACGGGUGAGGAAUACAUCGGAAUCUACUUUUUCGUGGGGGAUAACGUAGGGAAACUGACGCUAAUACCGCAUACGACCUACGGGUGAAAUCAGGGGAUCUUCGGACCUUGCGCGAUUGAAUGAGCCGAUGUCGGAUUAGCUAGUUGGCGGGGUAAAGGCCCACCAAGGCGACGAUCCGUAGCUGGUCUGAGAGGAUGAUCAGCCACACUGGAACUGAGACACGGUCCAGACUCCUACGGGAGGCAGCAGUGGGGAAUAUUGGACAAUGGGCGCAAGCCUGAUCCAGCCAUACCGCGUGGGUGAAGAAGGCCUUCGGGUUGUAAAGCCCUUUUGUUGGGAAAGAAAAGCAGCAGGUUAAUACCCCGCUGUUCUGACGGUACCCAAAGAAUAAGCAACGGCUAACUUCGUG